AUGAAAUGUAAUAACUAUUUUAUUUUUAGUGUUGGCAUUACUGCAUUGUGUCAUUUUGCUUAUUUUACACAGAUCGUCAAUGUGAGGUUGAAAUUCAACAAGCUGACAGGAGACACUGUGACAUUUGAGGCUCCUGGGGGGCCGUACACUAUGGAGGUCGAGAAAGGACGCAAUAUGUCGCAGAUUGGAGGAGAUGGAUGGGCCCGUUUCGUCGCUCGCAUGCAUCUUACUGGUGUUGAGUUGAUCAGCUUCAACUUCCGAGCAGAAAGACCCAAGCUAGCUAUCAUUUAUAUCAACCUGGUGGAAGAUGAUGAAGAUGAUGAAGAUGAUGAAGAUAAUGAGGACCCACUCGAUGAAGAUGAUGAGGACCCACUUCAUGAAGCCAUCGUAGCUCAAAGAACAAGGCUGAGUGAGGAGGAGGUGUCCAACCUGUGGGACAUCAUUCCGCCACGUGCUGACUUUGUCGGGGUGCCAUUCGUGACCCGCUUGACAAAUACCAUGGUUGAUCGACAUGAUAUGGUAUGUUAUACUUACAAAUGCAAAUUAAUAGUGUGA
This 555-nucleotide ribosomal RNA is filed under the name Triticum aestivum (bread wheat). RNAcentral describes it as "partial small subunit ribosomal RNA". The record is from RNAcentral. Lineage: Eukaryota; Viridiplantae; Streptophyta; Magnoliopsida; Poales; Poaceae.